AACGAACGCUGGCGGCAUGCCUAACACAUGCAAGUCGAACGAGACCUUCGGGUCUAGUGGCGCACGGGUGCGUAACGCGUGGGAACCUGCCUUUAGGUUCGGAAUAACUCAGAGAAAUUUGAGCUAAUACCGGAUGAUGUCUUCGGACCAAAGAUUUAUCGCCUUUGGAUGGGCCCGCGUUGGAUUAGCUAGUUGGUGGGGUAAAGGCCUACCAAGGCGACGAUCCAUAGCUGGUCUGAGAGGAUGAUCAGCCACACUGGGACUGAGACACGGCCCAGACUCCUACGGGAGGCAGCAGUGGGGAAUAUUGGACAAUGGGCGAAAGCCUGAUCCAGCAAUGCCGCGUGAGUGAUGAAGGCCUUAGGGUUGUAAAGCUCUUUUAACCGAGAUGAUAAUGACAGUAGCGGGAGAAUAAGCUCCGGCUAACUCCGUG
Molecule: ribosomal RNA, 433 nt
Filed under: uncultured bacterium
Lineage: Bacteria
Description: partial 16S ribosomal RNA
Rfam family: Bacterial small subunit ribosomal RNA
Source: RNAcentral